CUCCCAAAGUGCUGGGAUUACAGGCAUGAGCCACCUCACCUGGCCUGGGGGAGCAUUUCUGACAUUGUACGUACCUAAAGUACCUUUCGGCGCUCCCUAUCAUGUCACCCUGUUUUCCUCAGAGCUCUUGGCACAGUCUGAAAUCAUUGUUUACUUACUUAUUAUGGUCUGUUCCCCUUCAUCUCCCUUCCACCACUAAGAUGUGAGCUGUUGGACACAGGGGCCUUUUUGGUGUUUUUUCAGAACUGUAUCUUCAGGGCACAAGAACUCCACUGUUUCUGCGCAGAAUGAGAGGAGAUUCUUAGCUUUCAACACCCUCAGAAGCUCAUCAUUUGGGUCCAGAACUCCACUGUUUCUAUGCAGAAUGAGAGGAGAUUCUUAGCUUUCAACACUCUCAGAAGCUCAUCAUUUGGAUGCUUCUGCCUUUUUGGUUUUAUGAUUUUGAAGGACCUCAGCUCCCUGCCUCCUAGAUUUUUGCCACUGUGGUCUCAGAGCUGUGUAAUUUGGAUGACUGAGAUGGAAAAACCUCUGGAAAACCUUUAUUUACGUUGAAUAAGUAUUCCUUGAAUCCUUCCUCAGCAUCCUGGGUUAUAUUUGUUUGCUCUGCUCAUGAUACCUUCAUGCCAAGGAGACUGCUAUCAAUUCUCUUAAAACAGAUCCCAACUCCCUGCUCAUAGUGGCCAAAGGAAUGGAGAUUUAAGGCUGAGUUUACUUACCUGCAUCAUCUUCAUCUUUCCAGGAAGCAUCACUGCACAAACCUCUGUUUCUACACUUCCAUUCAAUCAGCUCACUUUUCUGCUCUUGGUACCCUUCGUUUCUUGUGAACUCUCCAGCAGGAGUGACUUGCAAUUUGUAUACACUGACAUUUAAGUUCUUGGAAGUGCUGGAGAAGCGUAUCAAAGUAAAUUAUCCUGAUGUAUAAUUUUGUGCAUGUAAAACUCACAGUGGAAGUGCCUGUUCUAAUUUCAGUACGGAACACAGAUAAACAUUUGGAUUAAUAAUCCAGUUUUGAAAGGGUACUUUAUUUAAAGUACAAUGUGCUGAAAAAAUGAAAAAAAGAAAGGGUGCUUUCAAAUUUGUACCUAGUAAACUUUCACUAGAUCACAUCGUAUGUUUAUCACGAGUCAUGUAUGUGUUGUAUUUCUAUGUGUAAUUGUCAGGCACUUUUAAUUUCUAGUUUGCAUUUACCAUGCCAGCCUCCUCCUCAACCCCAAAUUUCCUUUGGUUAUAAAUUUAGUAAAUUUGAAAGAGCCAGCAGGGAUUAAACCCUGAAGGAAUUCAAAUGACUCUCUGACUUUAUUCCUCAUUUCAGUCGUUUCAAAAAAUUAUGCUUUCAUUUAGGAUAGGCUCUGGGAAUCAAAGUGUGUAUAUUUUGCCCAAGUGGAAGACACAGUUUAAAGUUAACAUCCUAGCUACUAGAAGGGAAAGCGAACAACAUCGCUGGAAAAGGAGCCUAUCGUUUUUACCUUACACUAAAACUACAUUGCGAAGAUCAAAAGAAAUCAGGAUGAGAGUGUGCCUCUUAAUGCCAGGCCCAAAGUAGAUGCUUAUUAAAUGAGUCAAUCCUUCACAAAUGGUUGAUAGGUCUUACUAUUUCUCCCCUAUUCAAAUCUAGAAUUUGUUCACUCCCAUAUACUAAUCGAUAGUGAAGGGAAAGCACAAAAUAGAUCAUCGUCCAAGCAUCAGGUAUUAGCCUGAGAAAUCCAGAAUCCCAUAUUUGUAACUGUCCUCCUUGAGAAAGUGCAUUUUUCAGGCGGAUUCUAGCCCCAUUUUUCUUUUUACUAUUUUUACAUAUUAUAAGAGAUGGCUUAGAAAUACUUUGAAAUUUGCCUCUUCGUCACAACACACUGAACGUUAAAAUCAAGUGGUUGGGUUUUUAUUGGCUUAUUUUGUCUUUAACCGUUUUAUUUCUCGAGCUGUCAUCGUUCUUUUCGUAUUACAUCCUUAUGAACCUUUUCUGGAUUAAAAAAAUGACGUUAUAAUAACGAAACUCUAACUGGCGUUGGAUUAGGACGAAGUUGACUCCAUUCCUUUUCCUCCCCGUAGUGUGGGCGCUACGAGGAAAGACCUCCGCGAGAACCAGCGAAGCCCGGGCUGCCCUUGCCGUGCGGGCGCACACUUGCUCCCCGCGCCGGGCUGCCCCGGGCGG
Molecule: long non-coding RNA, 2149 nt
Organism: Cercocebus atys (sooty mangabey)
Lineage: Eukaryota; Metazoa; Chordata; Mammalia; Primates; Cercopithecidae
Exons: 3
Source: RefSeq, a predicted model, not a curated record